CCUUGCCAACCCAUAAGGGUUUGAUAGCCUCAUCCUUCCAAAGCCUAUCAAACCCUGCCGCGUCAGCAUCAUCGCACCACCUGUCAGCCACUGCAUUGCUCCAAAAGGCUGCAACGGUGGGUGCAACUCAGACAGCGGGUCACAGUCACAUGACCCAAUUGGAUAUGGGCGAAUUGGGGGCGGUGAGUCAGGCUGCGGCUGACUCAGUGAGUCAAAUCUCCCAUCAGGGUUCUUACCUGGGCAAUCUGGCCGCGUGGCAGAAGAAUGACCGU
RNAcentral lists this unclassified non-coding RNA (272 nucleotides) under Hevea brasiliensis (rubber tree). Lineage: Eukaryota; Viridiplantae; Streptophyta; Magnoliopsida; Malpighiales; Euphorbiaceae. The record is from RNAcentral.